RNAcentral lists this ribosomal RNA (318 nucleotides) under uncultured bacterium. Its description in RNAcentral is "bacterial SSU rRNA". It matches the Rfam family "Bacterial small subunit ribosomal RNA", at positions 28 to 334 of the family's 1533-position model. The record is from RNAcentral.
GAUGAACGCUAGCGACAGGCUUAACACAUGCAAGUCGAGGGGCAGCGGGGUAGGAAGCUUGCUUUCUGCCGCCGGCGACCGGCGCACGGGUGAGUAACACGUAUGCAACCUGCCCCUGUCAGGGGGACAACCCGCCGAAAGGCGGGCUAAACCCGCGUACAUGCCACCGGGGCAUCCCGGAGGCAGGAAAGGCUUCGGCCGGACAGGGAUGGGCAUGCGGCGCAUUAGGCAGUAGGCGGGGUAACGGCCCACCUAACCGACGAUGCGUAGGGGUUCUGAGAGGAAGGUCCCCCACACUGGUACUGAGACACGGACCAG